AGACAAUAGAUACCCUGGUAGUCCUGGCCCUAAACGAUGUCCGCUAGAUCAUGGGACCUUGACGGGUUUCAUGGUCGAAAGCAAAAGUGCUAAGUGGACCGCCUGGGAAGUACGGUCGCAAGGCUAAAACUCAAAGGAAUUGACGGGGGCGUCACACAAGCGGUGGAGCAUGUGGUUUAAUUUACGAAGCAACGCGCAGAACCUUACCUGGGCUUGACAUGCCAGGAUUAUCCUUAUGAAGUAGGGUACAGCCCGCAAGGGCCGGAACUGGUACAGGUGCUGCAUGGCUGUCGUCAGCUCGUGUCGUGAGAUGUCGGGUUUAAGUCCCUUAACGAGCGAAACCUUUGCCCUUAGUUACCAUCGGGUCAUGCCGGGGACUCUAAGGGGACUGCCGGUGUCAAACCGGA
This 407-nucleotide ribosomal RNA is filed under the name uncultured bacterium. Its description in RNAcentral is "bacterial SSU rRNA". It matches the Rfam family "Bacterial small subunit ribosomal RNA", at positions 774 to 1167 of the family's 1533-position model. The record is from RNAcentral.